RNAcentral lists this ribosomal RNA (495 nucleotides) under uncultured bacterium. RNAcentral's name for it is "partial 16S ribosomal RNA". It matches the Rfam family "Bacterial small subunit ribosomal RNA", at positions 28 to 507 of the family's 1533-position model. The record is from RNAcentral.
GACGAACGCUGGCGGCGUGCCUAAUACAUGCCAGUAGAACGCUGAAGGAGGAGCUUGCUCUUCUGGAUGAGUUGCGAACGGGUGAGUAACGCGUAGGUAACCUGCCUGGUAGCGGGGGAUAACUAUUGGAAACGAUAGCUAAUACCGCAUAAGAGUAGAUGUUGCAUGACAUUUACUUAAAAGGUGCAAUUGCAUCACUACCAGAUGGACCUGCGUUGUAUUAGCUAGUUGGUGGGGUAACGGCUUACCAAGGCGACGAUACAUAGCCGACCUGAGAGGGUGAUCGGCCACACUGGGACUGAGACACGGCCCAGACUCCUACGGGAGGCAGCAGUAGGGAAUCUUCGGCAAUGGACGGAAGUCUGACCGAGCAACGCCGCGUGAGUGAAGAAGGUUUUCGGAUCGUAAAGCUCUGUUGUAAGAGAAGAACGAGUGUGAGAGUGGAAAGUUCACACUGUGACGGUAUCUUAACAGAAAGGGACGGCUAACUACGUG